UUCUCUGUGGGAAUGCUGUAUAACGAAAACUUUCUCUCUCUCUCUCUCUCUCUCUUUUAGAAGGGUUUUUUUAAGGAUUGCAUACUCGGCCGUGCUUGCAUACUUCAAGAUAGAAUUAGACUAUCUCUAUAACUCUGUCGAAGAUGUGAUGAACAUCUAAGAGAAAAAAUAAGAAGAAAAAAAAAAGCUUAUCCCAUCUCUGAGACCAUAUUAGGUGAACAUGCCAAAACCAUUAUCUCUGAGUUGUUUCUCUUUGGCACUUACCCAAGUGUGAGUCAUAUUCUUCUAGACUUCUGCUCGCAAUACAUUCGCGAUAUAUAUGCAUAUGCCCCGUAUACAUCUAUGUAUGCGUGUGUGUAUAUAUGUAAAGCAGUUAGUUUCCAUUCUCGUUGCAAGAGGAAGCAUCUACAGCGGCAUCCAAAACGGUUUAAGGAACCCCAGCCAUAACGGAAACCCCCAAAGUGCAAUUUGUGUCUUUGAAGCGUGCAUCGACAUCGCUUAAUGGUUUCGGAAAUCCGAUAAACGUUAUUAAUAAAAAUAUAUUUUUAUUAUUGCUGUUGUUAUUAUUGUUAUUGUUGUUAUUCUGUACCGGAUGGUGUGUAAUUAAUAGCCGUUUAUAAAGUAUACCAUUAUAGUUUUGCAGUUGACACGAUCAAAUGACAAACCAUCCGGCAUAUUCGGAGAGAAACAUAGUUGGGAGAGGUUCCUGGAAAAGAUCCAGACACGCCGAUGACAAUAGGUCUGUCGUUUCUUACAUAAACGUUUGGCUUAAGAAAAGUGGUAUACAGUUGAAAUAAAAUGAACAAUGAUAGUCAGGUACACGCAAACCCCUCUCUACUAGAAGAAAAAUAAACGAAAAAGACGGGGAACAGAAAAAAAAGAAGAAGAAGAAGACCUCCUUAAAGCGGACAAUUAGUGGACAUUUCUGAAAUUCUCAAAUUUUGCCAUUGUUGCAGAAAGAAAGCGACUUAGCAAACGUUAAAAAAAAGUAUAUAAAAAGAAAGAAAUAUAUAUAUACAUAAAAAAGUCUCAGAGGAUUUACGUAUCAGCGAUUUUAUUCCGACUGUUUAGACAAGGGUAGUUUUUUUUUCUAUCACUCCUCUUUUUUUAAACAUAUAUAUAUUCUUCAGAACUCUCUACAACGUGGAGGGUAUGCACAUAUAUAUAUUAUAUUGGGGGACGUACAGCACCCACACCGGGAGACAAAGGGAACACGUAUUACCCAUCUCUCACACACAUACACACACACACAUACAACACGAGUAUAUAAUUUUCUGCAUUAUUACCUCCGGUGUUCCGAUGGCAAAAGGUAUGGAAGAAUAUCCUAGAGUCACAGAUCCGAAGCGAAAUGUCACACCUGACAGGAUUAAGAGGAUACAGAUUAGAAGUUAAUUUGUGUCCCUAAGCAAUCUGGUGUGAACACUUUAAAAAGUUGUCUAGUCAUAUGUUUGGGGAUCACUUUUCCGAACGGAAUUCUCCUGUCUUAGAGACAGUAACCCCAGCAACGGUUCAACGAUGCCGAAGAACAGAAAAAAAAAAGCAAAAAAGAAAAUAAAAAAAUCUGCAAAAGUAUAAAACCGAAUAAAUACUAAACUCUCCUUUACUAAAUUGCUAACACCUAUUUGAUGUUUUUAACACGCUUUCAAAGGUGAGCUUUCGGCACAAAACGUUUAGUUUCCUCGACAUUUUUUUCGAUCU
RNAcentral lists this long non-coding RNA (1698 nucleotides) under Androctonus crassicauda. Lineage: Eukaryota; Metazoa; Arthropoda; Arachnida; Scorpiones; Buthidae. The record is from RNAcentral.